AGUACCUUUUAAUGAAUUGUCCAGAGAGGCAAAAAAGGGGAAGAUGUGGACAAGAUAAAAGUUUGAAUGCGUUCUAACUUUAACUUGUCACGCCUCCUUAUGCCUCGUUGAUGACAUCAGCGGGGCUUUUAAU
Molecule: non-coding RNA, 133 nt
Organism: Lysinibacillus sphaericus OT4b.31
Lineage: Bacteria; Bacillati; Bacillota; Bacilli; Caryophanales; Bacillaceae
Source: Rfam